RNAcentral lists this ribosomal RNA (674 nucleotides) under Idiomarina sp. RNAcentral describes it as "bacterial SSU rRNA". It matches the Rfam family "Bacterial small subunit ribosomal RNA", at positions 56 to 719 of the family's 1533-position model. The record is from RNAcentral. Lineage: Bacteria; Pseudomonadati; Pseudomonadota; Gammaproteobacteria; Alteromonadales; Idiomarinaceae.
UGCAAGUCGAGCGGUAACAGAGAGAAGCUUGCUUCUUUGCUGACGAGCGGCGGACGGGUGAGUAAUACUUGGGAACUUGCCUUUAGGAGGGGGACAACCACGGGAAACUGUGGCUAAUACCGCAUAAUGUCUACGGACCAAAGUAGGGGAUCUUCGGACCUUACACCUAAAGAUGGGCCCAAGCGAGAUUAGCUAGUUGGUGGGGUAAAGGCUCACCAAGGCGACGAUCUCUAGCUGUUCUGAGAGGAUGAUCAACCACACUGGGACUGAGACACGGCCCAAACUCCUACGGGAGGCAGCAGUGGGGAAUAUUGCACAAUGGGGGAAACCCUGAUGCAGCCAUGCCGCGUGUGUGAAGAAGGCCUUCGGGUUGUAAAGCACUUUCAGUGGUGAGGAAGGCCGUAAGAUUAAUACUCUUGCGGAUUGACGUUAACCACGGAAGAAGCACCGGCUAACUCCGUGCCAGCAGCCGCGGUAAUACGGAGGGUGCAAGCGUUAAUCGGAAUUACUGGGCGUAAAGCGUACGUAGGCGGCUUGUUAAGCAAGAUGUGAAAGCCCCGGGCUCAACCUGGGAAUGGCAUUUUGAACUGGCAGGCUCGAGUUCUGAANAGGGUGGUAGAAUUUCCUGUGUAGCGGUGAAAUGCGUAGAUAUAGGAAGGAAUACCGGUGGCGAA